CAGCGCUUAAACGAUUGGUACAACGAGAGUUUCAAUUAGGCCACUUGGAGCUAUCACUUAGCCGUUGGAAUACUCCUGUCUUCGUAAUCCAAAAAUCAUCGGGAUCAUUUCGACUCCUACAUGACCUCCGCACAGUUAAUGCCCAGCUUAUCCCCUUCGGCCCUGUCCAACAGGGUGGUCCUUUGCUCUUGGCUAUACCGGAGGGAUGGCCCUUGAUGGUCAUCGACCUCAAGGAUUGCUUCUUUUCUAUCCCCCUUGCGGUGCGGGACCGAGAGGCCUUUGCAUUUAC
This is a regulatory RNA element of Meleagris gallopavo (turkey), 289 nucleotides long. It matches the Rfam family "Retroviral 3'UTR stability element". The record is from Rfam. NCBI's taxonomy places the organism in Eukaryota, Metazoa, Chordata, Aves, Galliformes, Phasianidae.